UACGGGGGGGGCAAGCGUUGUUCAGAAUUACUGGGCGUAAAGGGCUCGUAGGUGGCCAACUAAGUCAGACGUGAAAUCCCUCGGCUUAACCGGGGAACUGCGUCUGAUACUGGAUGGCUUGAGGUUGGGAGAGGGAUGCGGAAUUCCAGGUGUAGCGGUGAAAUGCGUAGAUAUCUGGAGGAACACCGGUGGCGAAGGCGGCGUCCUGGACCAACACUGACACUGAUGAGCGAAAGCCAGGGGAGCAAACGGG
Molecule: ribosomal RNA, 253 nt
Filed under: uncultured bacterium
Lineage: Bacteria
Description: partial 16S ribosomal RNA
Rfam family: Bacterial small subunit ribosomal RNA
Source: RNAcentral